CCCUGGGAUUUUUUUUUAAUGGUUCCUAUUUCCUUGUUGAACUUGUCGUUUUGUUCAUUUAUUUUUCUCACAUUGUGUAAUUCACUAAACGUUAAGAGGAUAAUUUUGAAUUCUUGGACAGUUUGUAGAUCUCCACUUCUUUUGGACUGUAUAUGUUUAUUUUAGCAGAGACAGUUCCUCACCAGUCAGUUUAGUUUGGGCUUCUGGAUUGUCUGCUAGUGACAUCAUUGAGCAGGUAGGGCUUGCUGUCAGCUCUCUUCUUUGAUGAAGCCAUUGCCCAGGCUCUGAGCUUUGGGGCUGGAGGUUGUACUGGCUGAGAACAGUUGGCUAGGACUGCUUGCUUGGCUCCCUGCCAGAGUGAGUCUAGAGGAUAGACUCUGGGGUUCCCUAGCUUCUCCGGUCAGGCUUUCUAGCUGGUAAGGACGGGGUUACUCAGUAGGCUGGGCUUCAAAUUGGGCUCUCUGCGGCAGUCAGGUAGUAGGACAGGCCCUGGGCCUGCAUGGCUCAGUGUUUGGUACCCAAAUCAAGUGUGACUAUACCCUGAAUUCCCUGGCUAGUCAGGGCCCAUGAUUUACCCUGUGGAUGGGGAGUGCACACUGUUCAGUUCCAUUGCUAUGGGGAGCGGGGGCUGUUGGUGGUGCUGGCGGCUCCCUGUGGGCACUGGUGCAGUUCCCUUGUGCGUGGGCUGCAAGCUGUCUUCAGCCGUGCGUGGCCCUAUGGAUUCAAGUCCCUGCCCAGGCUCAGCAGAACCAGCUUCAAGGUCAGUAAGAUUGUCUUGACUCAAGCCAACCCACAUCCCAAACCCCCUGGCUGGAUGCGGCCCCCAGCUUCGUUCUGCAGACUCUUCAGACCUGCCUGCCGGACUCCCUGCUCAAGUGUUGUGGGCUGUGCAGCUUUCCAGGCUUUCUGGUUGAGCAGGGUCAAGAGCUCCACUCAGCCGUGGGCAGGCUUAUGACUCUACUCCCUCCAGGGCUGGAAAGUUGCUUCAUUUGAGGACCUAGAUCAGGCAGCCCUGCUUCCUACCGAGUCCCCUCGUCAGACCACGUCACUGACUGACUUCUGCAGAUGAAUAAGCCACAGGUUGGGACCACUGCUUGGGCACUGCAGGUAGGAACUUGGGCCGCCAAGAUCUGAGAGCUGGUUGUUGCAACCCCUUCUUCCUCUUUUCUCAUGGUCAGAUUGCCAGUGGUCAAGUUCUGCAGAUCCCCUGAAAUCCUGGUGUGGCCAGACCCAAGCUGGGGCUCCUAAGACAUGACCCACAAUGUUGGGAAGCUUGCUAGCCACCCUGGCUGUUUUUCCCACUGGAGGAACCAAGGCCAAGGGGAGGGGUGGUGCAGAAGGGUGCUUCAGCCUCCCCUUUGUGUUCCAGAAUUCUCUCAGUGGUCUUUUCCUUGUAUACUUGUUUUUGUGACGGGGAGCAAAGUCAGGAAUGACCUGUGUCACCAUCUUGGUGAUAUCACCUGUCACCAUUCUGUUUUAUUGGUUAGGUGUGGAAAUGCAUUUUGGACAUCUCAAACACUUCAUCUUGUGUGCAAGGAGACAUACAUGAAGGCCGCCAGCACAGAGUUGAAGGUAAGCUACUUUGCUGCCAGGUGUGUGUUAGUAGUAGUUUCUAGCUAACCCUGUGUUCGCCAGUAUUGUAUACUGGCUUGUUAUCUUUUGUCCAAACUUUCACAAAGUAGUAAAUUGAGAUGUAGUAAAUGCAGUAUUUUGCUCAGUUGUCACACUUGCAAAUUCUGUAGCUUUUCCUCAUUCACUUGCAUUUUUGUGUUGUGCCUUGAUCCCCUCUGGCUGCUAUGUGGAAGAGGAAUUUCUCCCAUCUACCCCUUCUUUGGCCUGAGGAUUGUGCCACCUGGUGACAUGUGAGGAGAAUUGUAGUUUUGGUGGGAAAUUGUGAGAGGGUUCCAGUUGUGUCACAAUAAAAGGAAGGACACCCAGUUCUUCCGGGUGUCUAAAAACACUCACCUGAAAUUCAAGUUCGAGUUGAAGUCCCAUUCUUGGCGUCUGCUCAUGUCUGCCAGACUUGGCCAUCUAGAAGUGAGUGGGAGUGGACGUGGGUGGCCGAUUUCAGAGGUGAAGACAGUCUGCUCUGCAUUUUGAUGUGUAAUUGAGGACAAUCAUUGGAAACUUUUAGGGGAGAGUUAAGAGAAAUGGAGUUGUGCCUGGACAAAAAUGUAAAAAGGAACAUCCAGCUGCUGCUGUCACUCCCUAGCAGUGCGGCAAGAAGGUGGUGGGACCUGGGGACAGAGGGGAGCCCUGCAGCCAGGGAGCAGAGUCCUCGCGAGAAGGCCAGGCGGGGAUACCCACUGCUUCUGGUCUGCGAACACACAGUCCAGGGUUUGGGGCGCUCUUGGAGGUCACAAGCAGACAAAACUUGUUCCGAAUGUGGGAUUUUGGCAUUUGGAUUCAUAAAUUUCCCAGUUACUACCAGUCAAUGGCAAUUCUCUGGCACAGAGGAGACUCUUCCCUGUAGCUCGUAGCUUCCCUGUAGGUUUCACUUACCAGAGGAUUUGGGGUUUCCUGAGACUUUUUUGGGUGGUUCUUAACAAGCCAGUGCCACACACACUGUGUGACAAGGCUGGGGUGGUGUCGUGUGGACAGUGAUGGCCCAUCAUCCAUUUAUUGCCGUCCCGGGGCUUCACGUAGGGAGGAUGAGAUCUUCUUUCCUGGUAUGUGUUUUGCGAGUGUGUCCUCGCUUGUCCCGGGAGGUGUUCCAGGAGAGGCGGAGGCUUCUAGGACCCGCGUCUACACUAACUGAACCUUGGAUCUUGUGUCCCUGUGCUGUCCCGGGAGUGUCAUGUCAAGUUCCCAAUUCCAAAAGAUAUACCGUAUUCCUGCUCAACAGACUGACAGAAAAGAUUGUUUCUCCUCCUGCCACAAAGUGGGUGUUUCACCAGUCCGUGGGAACCUGUCUGGCACUCACACUAGACUGAUGUGUGAUAGAGGCUGUGGCAAAGUCUUGAAGGGACCAAAACUGGGCAAGAUGUUUUCAAGCCUGAAACAGAAAGAACAAAUGUGAGGGUGAGUCUGCCUUCCCCCGGGAAACCCCUGGGGGCGUCCCAACACUCACGGGUAUGUAGGCACACAGAGCACGACCUCUCACCAGAGCAGCCAUGUUCUCACCGUAGACCCAGACACAUGGGCAGGACAGACUUCCCUCUUACCAGAAACUUUUCAAGACCUCCUUCCCCCACACUUGCUAGGAAGUGUUCAUGUGUGCUUUGCUUUGUGGCCCAGGAAAAAAAAAAAAAAGUGGCUUCGAAUCAUCCCGAGACUUUGCCACUUGCAGAGUCCCAGUGUGGCCCCACGGUUUUCUUCAUUGUUGCAAAGGCUGCACUGUGAAACCUCUGCUAUUACUCUGUCCUCAUUUUCUUCCCAUCUUCCCAACACGUCAGACCCAAAUUUGGAGGUAGAAAAGGUCUUACAAAGGUCUAGGCAGAAGUAACUCCAUAGAAACUACAACUGUCCACAGGGAAAGGCUUAUUUGUGUGGCGGAGAAAGCUGUCAAGAAAAGAGCACUGUAACCAAGAGCCCAUCUGACCAUCCUAAGUCAGGCUUCUUUGGGAAGAUGCUCAUUCAGCAGGAAAUCCUGAAGCGAGAAACCUCUCGUGAACAUGCCAACAGCCUGAACUGGACGAUUUUAGGAAAUCUGAGCCAGGUCUGUAGCGCUGGGACACCCGCACUGUGACCUGGGAGAUCGUGGUAUAACCUGUGUGCGGGUGACGGCAGAAAUGAGGGGGCACGAGUCAGAAGAUGCAACAUCAUAACCACAUAGCUGCGGUUCAUGGAACAAUCUCCCUGGGGAGAGACCAGGGUGCCACUUUCAAGGGCAGUGAGCAGGUCAUUCAGAGCCUCACCUGUCACGUUCGAGUAACAUGCACCCAUCCCAAGCUUGUGGCCACCGUGCUAGUCCGUCAGUUUAACUCACCGAGAGGCCCGGCGCUGGAGAUGCUCCCAGGUCAAGUUCUGGGAGGCCUGCACACACCACCUCAGGGACCCCCCUCUCCCGCCUCGCACUCUCAGCAGAGCUUGGACAUGCCAGGAAUGCCCGGGGAAAGAAACGCCUUCUAGAAAUCUCACUUUCCGACUGCUUUGCCUCCCCUGGUGCCCAACACAGGCAGGGCAUCACCAGUCACUCGGCAGGUGCUCGCAAGCGGGAGGAGAAACCGGAGUUGGCCAGGAUGACGCACACCCACCUUGGGUACAAGUCACAGGAUCUGUGACACACUGUGAACAAGGCCAGAAGGGCCCACUCUUUUCAUCUCUGGCCACACCCUGACUUGUAACCAGCAUGGACACCGGGUGUGUGUGGCCCGGAGCAGCCGACCUUCUCAAUGGGCCCAGGACCCUCAAAUGCCUGAUGGGCCCUUGAACUGCCGAAGGAGCCUCCACUCCGGAGUGGGAAGAGGCAGCACCCCCUUGCACCCCCAGCUCUGGAUGCACAGAGCAGAAACCCUGCUUAGACAAAGUGGGUACAAGACAUUUUCCCCCACUCUCAUGGCUUGUCAGGCUUGGAACAAGUCCCACGUCAUCCCAAACUUGACCACAAGCCAGCAGCCCAAGCUGUGUGUUGGUUCCAGGAAACGGUUUCUGAGGAACAGCAGUCCCCCUACAGCUGUUCCUACUUUGGAACAAUUCACAGGGGACGACGCUCGGCAGCCCUCGGACUCUGGGAACCUUCAGGGGCCUGCACGCUGCCAAAGGCCUCUGUCAGAGAAGCUGGGCUUGGAGAGCGCCAUCUUGGGAAAGCAGCCAAACCUCCAUGUGGGGACACGGCCCCAACACCAAAGUCUGAAAGCAAAGCUGCCACUCUGCCUUCAGAGACAGAGAAGGGACGGAAUGAAGAGGCAAAGGAACACUGGCCACCUGUGCAGGCACCUGCCCACGUGCUCAGGAGGGACCAAGGCCCUGUGGUCUUUUCCAGCCCUCGCCUCUUUUCAGCUUCCUCUGAAGAGCUCAACUACUGCCUUUGGGCAAGAACACGUUGCUACUCCUGGCCUUUCUGCCAUGACCUAGAAGGCACCAUGUCUAAACCAGACUCCCGACUUUACCUUCUUCACAUGACUCCCUCUCCUGACCCUCCGCCUUGGUCUCUGUCCUUCCACCAUCCCCUGGUGACAGGGACACAGCCCCGCUCUCUCAGAGGACUGGGACUUCCCUUCCCACCAUCACCAUCUCGGGCUCGCCUCUCCUGGUACGUGUUUCUGACUUGACUCUUCAUUUUGCUGUGGGCAGCCAGCUGACAUUCUCUGAAAACACCUCUUCCUACUUCCUCCUGCCUCCCUGAGACCCAAAUCCCUAACACAUCCCUCAAGGCCCUCGAAAGCCUGGUCCUAAUCCACUUAGGACAAGGACACGUGGUACAGCUCUUCCUCCUGCUCUUACACACUCCGCGCUCUCAGAACCCCGUGUGCGCGCUCCCCUGCAGGGCUCUCUUCUGAGCUCCCACUGGGCGUCCUCACUGUCCAGGCCACUUGUUUGGCUUCCUCAAGGAUCAGCUGAGAUUAUUUUCCUCCCUAAGACUACGUCCUCCUGCCUUCACCCCAGACACAGGCACUUGCAUGUAGCAAAACGUCAGACACCCCCCGCACUGUAGGGCAGUAAAGGAAAUGGGAGCGACAGACAGUUAAUGACACGUGGCACGGAGACCUGGUUCCGGAGUCGGGAUAAUGCCCCUGGCUGAGCGCCAGGAGCCUGUGCCCGGGGGCCCCUCAGCACCCUCCCAGAGGCCCUCUGGCCCUGACGGGGGGAAAGGGAGGGUCCAUCCAGCUGCCCCGGGGUUUUAGCAGCCGGGGGCAGCUGGGUUUUAGCCCAGGACUCUGUCCCCUUCUUCCUGGACACUCGAGCAGGAAGCGAGGUGCGCGGGGCUGGCGCAUUCUGGCUGAGGAGGAAGGCUUUGAAGGGAAAACCACGGAAGAGAGAAGGGGGAAGAGAGCUGAUAGUUUCCUGAGCUUUUCCAUAACUGUGCUGUGGAUAUGUAAUUCUCACAUGGGAAAAGAAUGCGUCCACAUUGCCAUAGAUGUUCCCAGACUGAACAGAAGGUCAGAAUGUGGCUAUUUCAGUCCCUGUAAACAAGGAAGGGGUUUAGCUAAGAACGUAGUUCAAACUUUGGAAUGUAUUAACAAGGACAUUUUAAACAGAAUACAGAGACAUCCGGGAACACGGAGCACCGUGGAGGGAUGGGGGCGGGGUGGGAGAGGGUCAGGCUCUGUUUGCAGAGCAGCUUCUCCUCACAGCCUUUCCUGAAUGGCAGUCAACGGACAGACAGAGGCAAGUAGAGGAAACAAAGCUUGUCAGAGGCAGGUCGCCACUGUCCCGUGUAAGACUGUGGAGAAUGUCUGCUGUCUGAAAGAAUGUUCUAUAGUUCUGAAACAUUUCAUGUCCCUUGUCCUUGGGCAAAAAGAUCAGCCUGUGGCCCUCAGGACUGGGCACAGCUGCUGCUGCUCGCUGCCACGGGCACGCCGCCAGACCCGGCCGGGCCUGCUCUCCCCCCACUCAACUUUGGGCUCCUUCUCCCAGCAGGAAGAAAUUCUGUUUCCCUCCUCCUACUACAUACAGUUGGCCUAUUUACUAACAAUUUCUUUCCCAAGAGUUUCUCUAAAUGUAUUCAUUUUUAUCCAAAGUCGGAUAAGGAACAGUUCCCUCUACCCAACUCCCAAUAAACAUGGACCAGUUUUCAUUUUAUAGCUGUAAAAACCGAAUACUGGUAUUGAUUUGUAAUAAAAUGCCUCACUAACAUUUUAAAAGGUUCACAGGCUAGUCUCAGGAGACCAGUCUUCUGUAGUUGGGAACUCCUCCCCCGCAUCCUAAACACACAUCCUCACCUGCACGCGGGUACCAGAAAGUCGCAACAGCUGCCCACCUCCCCUCGUGGGUUCCCGCUCCCACACCUGGCCAGAGGGCUCGGCCCCCUGGUGGUCCAGGUCGGAGCAGUGCUGGCCGGCAGUGAGCCACCUCCAGACUUGUUCUUGUAACCCACGAGUGGCCCCAGAACCGGAGAGCUCCAUGCCGAACACAGGUAGUGGCGAGGUGCCCUCCAGCUCAUCUGGUCGUGCUGGCUGGCCGCCUACAAGCUCUCAGCUGCCCCGAGUCCCAGGGCUACUCCCACGUGGCCCUUUCCUGCUCCAGGUCACCAGGCCCUUAUGUUGUCUAAAUGAGGUCACCCCGUGCUCUGCCUACUGGGCUCACCUGCAUUGCCUGGAAUUACUGAUGUUUGGGUUCAUUUAUUACAUU
Molecule: long non-coding RNA, 7233 nt
Organism: Mustela erminea (ermine)
Lineage: Eukaryota; Metazoa; Chordata; Mammalia; Carnivora; Mustelidae
Exons: 3
Source: RefSeq, a predicted model, not a curated record